GAUCGGGAGACGGAAAGAUGGCAGCCGCAGGUAAAAAGGGCGACUAAAUAAAUACGAAAAUGCAUUGAAAAGGGAAAAGUAAAACCAACGUGAAGGCAAAGAUAGAUCCACAACUUCACUUCACUCAUAGUGGACAUUUCAUUACUAUCUGUUAUUUAUUUGAGAAACCAACUACAACUACCAACUACGAGUGAGCCAUCACUCAUCACGUGGCCUUGGUCGAUGAUACAUAAUGCGGACAUAAUCCAAUCUUAUCAAAAUGCUAAUGUCUCCCCCUUGUUCAGCUUCGAUCCCUUCUUGGCGGCCAAGCCCUUUCAUGUUUGCGCGCUCUCCAUCAGACAUUCCCCUCUCUUUCUCUCUCUCUCUGUCUCUCUGCGCUGUCUGUUUCGUGAAGUUAUCCCCUCCCCCCCCCCCUGAAAAGAUAAGCGUGGGAAAACCUCUCUCUCGCUCUCUUCUCUGUCACAUUCACUUGAGGUCAUUCACUCGGCCCAUAAAUGGCUUUGUUUUUGUUUACAUUAGCUCAGAGGCGGCUUCAUAAGUCAUGAAUGAACUGACUAGUAUCUCUUCAGACUUUCUAUCAAUUGCUUUGGUGUCUCGAAGUCGACGGGUGUAUAUGUCAUUUUGAGACAGAGAAUUUAUUUUACUCCAAUAUAAAGUAAAAGACGAAGAAAUUUGAGUACUGCAAUUUUUGUGAAAAUAAGAAAAUGCAAUAUUGUUUUUAAUAUAAGGAAAAUAAUUACAGCUUUAAAUACAUGACUUGGUCUAGCUCGAUAAAAAUCCAAACAACUAUGAUCAUAUACAUUUUUUUUUCUUCGUAACAUUGGAUAACAAAUUUCACAAAUUCCAACAUACUAUAAAUAUUGAUUAUUUAGUGCAAGGGUAAAUAUGACAAUGACUCGGAACAUAAUACAGGGAUAACAAUUAAUCAAAUUACUCUUAAUACUUGUAAACGUUUUUUUUAAUUAUUUUUUAUAAUUUUUUUUUCUUCAGGGGGGCGGGGUCAAAUUUUCCUCGUGUCGCGCCACGCCUUUUUAAUUUCUUGGCGAGAGGCCUGAUUAUGCAUAGAAUAAAAAAAAUCAACAAAAGGGAAAAGUAAAACAGGGGGGCAAAGUUACAUAUCUACAUCUUCACUUGUAAGGUAGACUACAUGCAUGCAAUGUAAAUCCUUAUUUUUAUUUCUAUAUUUAUUUUGUAAAAACACUGAAUUUUCUGCUGUGACUUUAGAUAAAACUCAGACUUCACAGAGCUGCCAAGCAGAACGUUUUUAACGUAUUUAUACGUGUUUUUUUAAGGGAAAAUACGUAUUUGUUUUGCUGUGCUAAAAUUGUAAGUUCUGAGUAUGGCUAUGCGAACGUGGCUACAGGUUGGCUGUGAGAACGAGCGUAUGCAUAGUAUGCAUACACACAACACAGGGGAUGUACACCACUCAAAGACGUGCGCAUUACCCCAGGCCAUGCAUACACACAUGCAUCCGAUCGUGAUAUCAAACCAGCAUCCACAACACACGCAAAUUACAUAUCAGUGCACUGCACUACACACAGCGUCACUCACUAGUACAAGGAAAUCCCGA
This 1570-nucleotide long non-coding RNA is filed under the name Strongylocentrotus purpuratus (purple sea urchin). Its description in RNAcentral is "uncharacterized LOC115923081". The record is from RNAcentral. Lineage: Eukaryota; Metazoa; Echinodermata; Echinoidea; Camarodonta; Strongylocentrotidae.